GAUGAAGAACGCAGCAAAAUGCGAUAAGUAAUGUGAAUUGCAGAAUUCAGUGAAUCAUCGAAUCUUUGAACGCACAUUGCGCCCGCUGGUAUUCCGGCGGGCAUGCCUGUUCGAGCGUCAUUUCAACCCUCAAGCCCCCGGGUUUGGUGUUGGGGAUCGGCUCUGCCCUUCUGGGCGGUGCCGCCCCCGAAAUACAUUGGCGGUCUCGCUGCAGCCUCCAUUGCGUAGUAGCUAACACCUCGCAACUGGAACGCGGCGCGGCCAUGCCGUAAAACCCCAACUUCCGAAUGUUGACCUCGGAUCAGGUAGGAAUACCCGCUGAACUUAAGCAUAUCAAUAAGCGGAGGA
RNAcentral lists this unclassified non-coding RNA (348 nucleotides) under soil metagenome. RNAcentral's name for it is "partial contains 5.8S ribosomal RNA, internal transcribed spacer 2, and large subunit ribosomal RNA". The stretch from base 1 to 120 matches the Rfam family "5.8S ribosomal RNA", at positions 35 to 154 of the family's 154-position model. The record is from RNAcentral.